This 329-nucleotide ribosomal RNA is filed under the name uncultured Pseudomonas sp. RNAcentral describes it as "bacterial SSU rRNA". It matches the Rfam family "Bacterial small subunit ribosomal RNA", at positions 1055 to 1382 of the family's 1533-position model. The record is from RNAcentral. Lineage: Bacteria; Pseudomonadati; Pseudomonadota; Gammaproteobacteria; Pseudomonadales; Pseudomonadaceae.
UCAGCUCGUGUCGUGAGAUGUUGGGUUAAGUCCCGUAACGACGCGCAACCCUUGUCCUUAGUUACCAGCACGUUAUGGUGGGCACUCUAAGGAGACUGCCGGUGGCAAACCGGAGGAAGGUGGGGAUGACGUCAAGUCAUCAUGGCCCUUACGGCCUGGGCUACACACGUGCUACAAUGGUCGGUACAAAGGGUUGCCAAGCCGCGAGGUGGAGCUAAUCCCAUAAAACCGAUCGUAGUCCGGAUCGCAGUCUGCAACUCGACUGCGUGAAGUCGGAAUCGCUAGUAAUCGUGAAUCAGAAUGUCACGGUGAAUACGUUCCCGGGCCUU